GACGAACGCUGGCGGCGUGCUUAACACAUGCAAGUCGAACGGAAAGGCCCUGCUUUUGUGGGGUGCUCGAGUGGCGAACGGGUGAGUAACACGUGAGUAACCUGCCCUUGACUUUGGGAUAACUUCAGGAAACUGGGGCUAAUACAGGAUAGGAGACCCUGCUGCAUGGUGGGGGUUGGAAAGUUUCGGCGGUUGGGGCUGGACUGGCGGAUGAUCAGCUUGUUGGUGGGGUAGUGGCUUACCAAGGCUUUGACUGGUAGCCGGCCUGGGAGGGUGACCGGCCACAUUGGGACUGCGGUACGGCCCAGUCUGCUACGGGAGGCAGCAGUGGGGAACAUUGCACAAUGGGCGCACGCCUGAUGCAGCAACGCCGCGUUCGUGAUGACGGCCUUCGGGUUGUAAACCGCUUUCGCCUGUGACGAAGCGUGAGUGACGGUAAUGGGUAAAGAAGCACCGGCUAACUUCGUG
RNAcentral lists this ribosomal RNA (468 nucleotides) under uncultured bacterium. RNAcentral describes it as "partial 16S ribosomal RNA". It matches the Rfam family "Bacterial small subunit ribosomal RNA", at positions 28 to 507 of the family's 1533-position model. The record is from RNAcentral.